This 468-nucleotide ribosomal RNA is filed under the name uncultured bacterium. RNAcentral's name for it is "partial 16S ribosomal RNA". It matches the Rfam family "Bacterial small subunit ribosomal RNA", at positions 28 to 507 of the family's 1533-position model. The record is from RNAcentral.
GACGAACGCUGGCGGCGUGCUUAACACAUGCAAGUCGAACGGAAAGGCCCUGCUCUUGCGGGUUUCUCGUGUGGCGAACGGGGGAGUAACACGUGAGUAACCUGCCCCUGACUUUGGGGUAACUUUAGGAAACAGGGGCUAAUACCGGAUAUGAGCUCUUGCUGCACGGUGGGGGUUGGAAAGUUACGGCGGUUGGGGAUGGUCUCGCGGCUUAUCAGCUGGUUUGUGGGGUAGUGGCUUACCAAGGCUUUGACGGGUAGCCGGCCUGAGAGGGUGACCGGCCACCUUGGUCCUGCGGUACGGCCCAGUCUCCUACGGGCGGCAGCAGUGGAGAGUAUUACGCAAUGGGCGGGAGCCUGAUGCGGCAGCGCCGCGUGCGGGAUGACGGCCUUCGGGUUGUAAACCGCUUUCGCCUGUGACGAAGCGUGAGUGACGGUAAUGGGUAAGGAAGCACCGGCUAACUACGUG